This 493-nucleotide ribosomal RNA is filed under the name uncultured bacterium. RNAcentral describes it as "partial 16S ribosomal RNA". It matches the Rfam family "Bacterial small subunit ribosomal RNA", at positions 29 to 507 of the family's 1533-position model. The record is from RNAcentral.
AACGAACGCUGGCGGCGCGUCUUAAACAUGCAAGUCGAACGGCAGGACGGGGCUUGCCCCUUCUGAGAGUGGCGGACUGGUGAGUAACACGUGGGUGACAUACCUCUUAGUUGGGGAUAGCUAUUAGAAAUAGUAGGUAAUACCGAAUGUGACCGUACCUGUUAGAAGGGUACGAGGAGAGGAGCUAAGGCUUCGCUAAAAGAAUGGCUCGCGGCCCAUUAUGCUGGUUGGUGAGGUAACGGCCCACCAAGGCGAUGAUGGGUAUCCGGCCUGAGAGGGUGAAUGGACACAUUGGGACUGAGAUACGGCCCAGACUUCUACGGGAGGCAGCAGUUAAGAAUAGUCCGCAAUGGACGAAAGUCUGACGGAGCGACGCCGCGUGGAUGAAGAAUGCCGAAAGGUUGUAAAAUCCUUUUAAGCCUGAUGAAUAAGCACAGUAGGGAAUGAAUGUGCGGUGACCGUAGGGCGUGAAUAAGCACCGGCUAAUUACGUG